Molecule: transfer RNA, 66 nt
Filed under: Pyganodon grandis (giant floater mussel)
Lineage: Eukaryota; Metazoa; Mollusca; Bivalvia; Unionida; Unionidae
Description: tRNA-Gln
Source: RNAcentral
UAAAGGUUAGUGGAGACCACACAUAAAUUUGAAUUAUGAAAAGGAACUAGUUUAUUCCACCUUUAC